This 95-nucleotide signal recognition particle RNA is filed under the name Stieleria tagensis. RNAcentral describes it as "signal recognition particle sRNA small type". It matches the Rfam family "Bacterial small signal recognition particle RNA". Rfam says of the family: The signal recognition particle (SRP) is a universally conserved ribonucleoprotein involved in the co-translational targeting of proteins to membranes. Archaeal SRP consists of a 7S RNA and homologues of the eukaryotic SRP19 and SRP54 proteins. In most bacteria, the SRP consists of a 4.5S RNA and the Ffh protein (a homologue of the eukaryotic SRP54 protein). Lineage: Bacteria; Pseudomonadati; Planctomycetota; Planctomycetia; Pirellulales; Pirellulaceae. The record is from RNAcentral.
GGUGGCGGCCCUUGCGACUGUGAAUCGAGAACCUGGUCAGGUCUUAAUUGAAGCAGCCAUAAUCGGUGUAGCUUUGUGUGAGGGUCGCCUCCACC